Zophobas morio is the source of this 280-nucleotide long non-coding RNA. RefSeq lists it as uncharacterized. NCBI's taxonomy places the organism in Eukaryota, Metazoa, Arthropoda, Insecta, Coleoptera, Tenebrionidae. The transcript is spliced from 3 exons. The record is from RefSeq and is a predicted model, not a curated record.
CUCAUCAUCCCUUUACUGCUCCUCUUCCAGAAGAUUAUUACAAGCUUUUUGAAAAUCCUUUAGAAGUUUGCGGAUUGCAUUACGAUCUCGUUAUUAAUGGUCAAGAAAUUGGCGGUGGAUCCGUUAGGAUUCACGAUGCUUCCGUGCAACGUCGCAUUUUUACUAAAAUUUUAAAAAGAAAAGAAGAAGAUUUUGAGCAUUUAUUAAAGGCUUUAGAAAGCGGCUGUCCUCCUCAUGCUGGAGUUGCUUUGGGCAUUAUUAUUAUAAUUAUUAUACUUAU